Molecule: ribosomal RNA, 497 nt
Filed under: uncultured bacterium
Lineage: Bacteria
Description: partial 16S ribosomal RNA
Rfam family: Bacterial small subunit ribosomal RNA
Source: RNAcentral
GACGAACGCUGGCGGCGUGCCUAAUACAUGCAAGUUGAGCGCUGAAGGCUGGUACUUGUACCAACUGGGUGAGCAGCGAACGGGUGAGUAACGCGUGGGGAAUCUGCCUUUGAGCGGGGGACAACAUUGGGAAACGAAUGCUAAUACCGCAUAAAAUCUUGAAACACAAGUUUUAAGGUUGAAAGAUGCAAUUUCAUCACUCAAAGAUGAUCCCGCGUUGUAUUAGCUAGUUGGUGAGGUAAAGGCGCACCAAGGCGAGGAUACAUAGCCGACCUGAGAGGGUGAGCGGCCACAUUGGGACUGAGACACGGCCCAAACGCAUACGGGAGGCAGCAGUAGGGAAUCUUCGGCCAGGGACGAAAGUCUGACCGAGCAACGCCGAGUGAGGAAAGAAGGUUGUCGGAUCGUAAAUCUCUGUUGUUAGAGAAGAACGUGGGUGAGAGUGGAAAGCUCAGCAAGUGACGGUAACUACUCAGAAAGGGACGGCUAACUACGUG